Harpia harpyja (harpy eagle) is the source of this 2361-nucleotide long non-coding RNA. RefSeq lists it as uncharacterized. The record is from RefSeq and is a predicted model, not a curated record. Lineage: Eukaryota; Metazoa; Chordata; Aves; Accipitriformes; Accipitridae. The transcript has 2 exons.
GCCCUUACACAUAGUCCAUGGGGUUUUUUGGUCGAAACUAUCAAAAAGAAUGAGAAAACUAUGUUGCAGCCCACCAGAAUGGCAGUUUUUAUAGCACGAAACUUAAAUCACAUGUUUUAUGACCUGUCAAGUAGCCUACGAGCCAGACAUGUGGCCGCUUCAUCCAUCUAGUGUCCUUCUCCCCAAAAAUGAGGGGUCGUGGGAGCAAACUGUCCCUGAAGACAAAGAGCAAACCAGAGCUGGGGGCUGAAGAGCUGAAGUCUUCAGGAGUGCAGUGCCCAAGACCUCCUCCUGGUCACCUUCUCUUUAGCAGUAUAGGCAUCCCCAAAAAUACCUAUAGCUCUUGCUGCAGAGCCUCCCCGGGCCAUAGUGCGGAAGGAGUGAUCGGCAGUCAGAGCUGGUGGAGAAUGUUCUUUGUCUUGUGAAAAUGUGGGAUGUGGAAAAUCCCGUCCCAAAUGGCAGUGAAGAUUUGGCUUUCAGUGUUUUCCAUAGCAAACAUAAAAAUAUCUUAGAUAAAUGCUGUGCUUCAGUGUUAGCCACUUCAUACUUUUUUUAAAAAUUUAUUCAGUUUCACUGCACUAAGAGGACUUUUUCACCUGAAAUCAAAAUGCUUUGCAGACUCCUCAACAUUCCUGUGAAGCACAAAGAAAAUAAAUAAUUUCCUUUGAUGUAAGUUGAAAUGCUUGUGAAUCAGUAUGGUUUUUUCAGGAGAAAGUUUGCUAAAAAUUCCCAACCAGCCUUUUUCUCUUUUCCACUUCCCCUCUUUUCUUUGUAGAUGACCAACAUGUGGAAAGGCAGUGAGACUCCCACUAGAGAUUUCUUGCUGCAUUUUUCAUGAGGAAUUCACAGGGGGAGGCCGAUACUCUAAGAGAUGAGCUGCUUCACUUUGGUUGGUGCUCUAGGAAGCACAGUUCACUAUUAAAAGUACAAAGUAGAGUUGGGGAGCUGAAAGAAAGGAUGGAGAGAGAGGGUGAAAGUACUGCUGAAUACUGGUUAAAAGCAUUAGAAACUGUUAAAAGAAUUUGGCAAGCUGACCCCCAGCUUUAACCUUUAAUCACCUACUUCUACCCCUGCAGAAAGGCAAAUUUAUGUGAAAAGGGUGGUGAGUCUGUCUGGGCUGGUUUCUGAAACGUGGUGAGCAAGGGCGCUCAGCUUUAAAACCGUAGGACUUGUAUGCAUAAGCAUGUAUUUCACCCUUUUUUAGACUCGGACUUCUCUGUUCUUGGUCGUACUUUCAGUGUUUUCCAGGGCUUCUGCUGUAAGGGAGCCAAGGACCGCGCAGCAGUGCCCUGCGGCAGAGCUUAAUAAGCAGCAUCCCGGCUCCUGCAGCGCGUAACCGGGCUUGCACUGCGCACCAAAGAGACUUGGGUUUGCCUUUACUGUCACCAAGGGCCCAGGUCUUACCCCACGUUACCGCAAACAUAGCUCUAUACUGUGGAACGAUCAAUAUUUGCAAACCUUUAAGGAGCCAGCUGCGUCGUCGUCGUGCUAGCUGUUCCAGGCUCUACCUUUCGUCCCGCUAGAGAUGCAGACCUCCUGGAAGGACCCGGCUGAAAUGAGAUGUUAGUCUUGCAUAUAGAGUCAUAGAAUCAUUAUUGAAUGGUUUGGGUCGGAAGGGACCUUUAGAGGUCAUCUAGUCCAAGCCCCCUGCAAUGAGCAGGGACAUCUUCAACUCGAUCAGGUUGCUCAAAGCCCCGUCCAGCCUGAGCUGGAAUGUUUCCAGGGAUGGGGCAUCUACCACCUCUCUGGGCAACCUGUAUAUUAUUUACUUACUUUUACCUGAAGCCUCGUAUAUCUAAAUAAUGUUUUAGAAGUGUAUUGUAUCCCCUAGCACACGUGAAGAAAAGGUGAGUGACUCCCUUCAAAUGUAUUUCUUCAUAAACAUUUAAUUAUAAUUUUUUACCUUGAUAUUUUUUUUAAAAGACCUCUAAUCCAAGUGAGCAGUUCAGAUACCAAAGGCAGCAUUUGUGGACUUUAUAUGAAGUUGUUUCUAGAGGAGAACCACAAGGAUGUGCCACGGGAACCUGUUGACGAUGCCGCGGUUCUAGCUGCAAGGGAGGCAGAUGGCUGACGACUCUCCAUACUGCUUUGCUUCGCACUCCUGCCCACCAGUCUGUCCUGCUGUCUGCCUGUCUCCUCAGCUCCCUGCGCUUCCAGCUUGCCAUUUGCCAUCGGUAUUUCCUUAGUGGACCUCUGUGUAGGCAAGCUGAAGGAAAGCCCGCUGAGCAGAGGCAUCCCUGAGUUGGGUAGCUGGGGCUUUGGAGAUCCUACCGCAUUCCCAUGGACAUUUUCAAAAUUACAUAAUUGAGGAAAGAUGCUGCGCUUCAUAUUUCUCCUCAUUAAAUUAAGAAUUGAAAAAUA